Pelobates cultripes (western spadefoot toad) is the source of this 213-nucleotide non-coding RNA. NCBI's taxonomy places the organism in Eukaryota, Metazoa, Chordata, Amphibia, Anura, Pelobatidae. The record is from the annotation of a GenBank genome assembly.
CUGCUAAUACCUCUCCCUAUACAACCAAGCAUUCUGCUGGCGUUUCCUGCUGCUCUAUUACAUUGUCUGCCUACCUUUAAGUCAUCAGAAAUAAUCACCCCUAAAUCCCUUUCCUCAUAUGUUGAGGUUAGGACUCUAUCAAAUAUUCUGAUUAGUCUGGUUUUAGACAGCCACUACCUGUAGACGUUGUUUCUUUUGUAUUUUAUGUUAAAU